AACGAACGCUGGCGGCAUGCCUAACACAUGCAAGUCGAACGAGACCUUCGGGUCUAGUGGCGCACGGGUGCGUAACGCGUGGGAACCUGCCCUUAGGUUCGGAAUAACUCCCCGAAAGGGGUGCUAAUACCGGAUAAUGUCUUCGGACCAAAGAUUUAUCGCCUUUGGAUGGGCCCGCGUUGGAUUAGCUAGUUGGUAGGGUAAAAGCCUACCAAGGCGACGAUCCAUAGCUGGUCUGAGAGGAUGAUCAGCCACACUGGGACUGAGACACGGCCCAGACUACUACGGGAGGCAGCAGUGGGGAAUAUUGGACAAUGGGCGAAAGCCUGAUCCAGCAAUGCCGCGUGAGUGAUGAAGGCCUUAGGGUUGUAAAGCUCUUUUACCCGGGAUGAUAAUGACAGUACCGGGAGAAUAAGUUCCGGCUAACUCCGUG
This 433-nucleotide ribosomal RNA is filed under the name uncultured bacterium. RNAcentral describes it as "partial 16S ribosomal RNA". It matches the Rfam family "Bacterial small subunit ribosomal RNA", at positions 29 to 507 of the family's 1533-position model. The record is from RNAcentral.